RNAcentral lists this ribosomal RNA (220 nucleotides) under uncultured bacterium. RNAcentral describes it as "partial 16S ribosomal RNA". It matches the Rfam family "Bacterial small subunit ribosomal RNA", at positions 114 to 334 of the family's 1533-position model. The record is from RNAcentral.
CGCGUAAGAACUUGCCUCACAGCUAGGGACAACAUUUAGAAAUGAAUGCUAAUACCUGAUAUUAUGAUUUUAAGGCAUCUUAGAAUUAUGAAAGCUAUAAGCACUGUGAGAGAGCUUUGCGUCCCAUUAGCUAGUUGGAGAGGUAACAGCUCACCAAGGCGAUGAUGGGUAGCCGGCCUGAGAGGGUGAACGGCCACAAGGGGACUGAGACACGGCCCUU